CCCUUAGAUGUUCUGGGCUGCACGCGUGCUACACUGAUAUUGCCAAUAUGUCAUUCUUAUCCGAAAUGGAUUGGGUAAUCAAGUAAUGAAAUUUCAUGCUUGGAAUCGGUAAUUGCAAUUUUAUCGUGAACGAGGAAUUCCUAGUAAGCACUAGUCAUCAGCUAAUGUUGAUUAUGUCCCUGCCCUUUGUACACACCGCCCGUCGCUACUACUGAUUGGGUGUUCAAGUGAGAUGCUUAGACCCUUGUUGCAUGGUUCAUUAUUGUGCUCCGAAAGGAGAAAGUUUCAAGCUUGAGUGUCUAGAGGAAGUAAAAGUCGUAACA
RNAcentral lists this ribosomal RNA (323 nucleotides) under uncultured eukaryote. Its description in RNAcentral is "partial 18S ribosomal RNA". It matches the Rfam family "Eukaryotic small subunit ribosomal RNA", at positions 1470 to 1796 of the family's 1831-position model. The record is from RNAcentral.